AUUUGUAGCUCAGCUGGAUAGAGCAACGCCCUUCUAAGGCGGAGGUCGGGGGUUCGAAUCCCUCCAAGUG
RNAcentral lists this transfer RNA (70 nucleotides) under human gut metagenome. It matches the Rfam family "tRNA". Rfam says of the family: Transfer RNA (tRNA) molecules are approximately 80 nucleotides in length. Their secondary structure includes four short double-helical elements and three loops (D, anti-codon, and T loops). The record is from RNAcentral.